Molecule: ribosomal RNA, 345 nt
Filed under: Pseudarthrobacter sp.
Lineage: Bacteria; Bacillati; Actinomycetota; Actinomycetes; Micrococcales; Micrococcaceae
Description: bacterial SSU rRNA
Rfam family: Bacterial small subunit ribosomal RNA
Source: RNAcentral
UGCACAAUGGGCGAAAGCCUGAUGCAGCGACGCCGCGUGAGGGAUGACGGCCUUCGGGUUGUAAACCUCUUUCAGUAGGGAAGAAGCGAAAGUGACGGUACCUGCAGAAGAAGCGCCGGCUAACUACGUGCCAGCAGCCGCGGUAAUACGUAGGGCGCAAGCGUUAUCCGGAAUUAUUGGGCGUAAAGAGCUCGUAGGCGGUUUGUCGCGUCUGCCGUGAAAGUCCGGGGCUCAACUCCGGAUCUGCGGUGGGUACGGGCAGACUAGAGUGAUGUAGGGGAGACUGGAAUUCCUGGUGUAGCGGUGAAAUGCGCAGAUAUCAGGAGGAACACCGAUGGCGAAGGC